CAACUUCAUGCCUGAGUAGAAGUGUUUUUUUCUGCAGCUGAUCAUUUGCUAAUAAAAUUAACUUAAUUUCUGGCUAAAGAUAAAUUAAGUAGUACUUUUUGCAUUUAUUUAUUUAAAAAUUUGAGUGCUUUUUUAUUAUUAAAUACAAUUAUUUAAAUUGUACUGUUGUUCACUGGUUAAUAAGUGGAAGUGUACUGGUGCUGUUUGUUGCUGCUUGCUGUUGUUCAUUUGCUUUGUUGCCAAAUUUACUUUUGUUUAUUUACAACAACUAAAAUAUAAAAUGUCGCCUCCAACUAAAACUUUUAAAUGUGGAUCCUGCAAUGAUAACAUUAACAAGAACCAAACUAGCAUUCAAUGUAAAGAAUGUGCCCUGUGGUUUCACAUUACAUGCGCCAAAAUUCCUGAAAAGGUUCUUUCAGCUUUGAAGGAUAGCAGGUUAUCUUUUACUUGUACCUCUUGUAAUAAUGAUCCUCGGUCUGGAUUUGAGACUAUGUUGAGAAAUGAAAUUAGCUCACUUAAUUGCAAAAUAGAUGAUUUUAUAAACAAGGUUGAUAGUGAACAGACAUCGAUUAAAAAUGCGUUGGCGGAUACUGUUGCUUCCUUGAAAUCAGAGAUUGCUUCUUGCCUUAAGGAAAUGAAGAGUGAAAUUGUGGAUUGCAAUAAGCUAAUAAACAAUGUCGAGAUAUCAACUUCCAACAAAAUUACAGCGUUAGAGGAGGAAAAUAAUUGUCUGCAUAGAAGACUUAACCGUACUAACAUUAUAGUUACUGGUUUGCCUGCCGGUAUAGAUGAUCUGAUGCCUGUUAUUAUGAAAUUAGGAACAAUAUUUGAUGUUCCAAUUUGCACAUAUGACUUACAAUAUAUUUGCUAUAUGAAUAACAGGAAGUCUAUUUUGGUGAAAUUCAAUAGUAUCUUUGUUCGGGAUAAAAUAAUGAGUCAAUAUUUUAAAACUCGGUCUUUGAAGGUUCGUGAUUUUGUGGAUGGAGAUGUUGAUUUAAGAGUCUAUUUGAAUGACCACUACUCUCCUGCUGCUAGCAGACUUAAUAUGAUUUGCAAAAAGCUGCUUCGUAAAGACCUAAUUAAAAAGUUCCGAAUAAUGAAUAGUGACAGAUUGAGAGUUAAAUUAACAUUACCGGAUGAUUCUGAGGUGGUCUAUAGUCCUUCUCAAUGUGCUGAUUUGCUGGAUGAUGGCCAUAUCUUGUUUUUUUAUAAUGAUGCCUUAUAACCUAACAGCUGGUCCUCAACUCAGUGUAAAUUCUUACUUUAAAACUGCUUUGCAACAUCAUUUAGGAAUUGGCUGCUGAGGGGACCAUUUUUUUAUCUCAAUGUUUUUAAAAUUGAUAUGGCUGGGGAGCCAAGUGAAGAAUAAAUUGAUAUGAGAAUCUGAAUAUUCUAUAGAAGGGACUUAAUAUAAGUAUUUCUAUUUUGAAUCUAAAUUUGUAUAUUUUAUUUAUAUAUUAUAGUAUUUAUAUAUAUAUAUGUAUAUAUUUUUUUUUUUUUUAUAUAUAUGAUCUCAGGCGUUAUGUGCUGUGUAAUAUUAAUAUUUUGGCCUUUGUAGGCUUUAUAUUACAAAUAAAUGAAAUAAAUAAAUAAAAUAAA
This 1599-nucleotide unclassified non-coding RNA is filed under the name Lucilia cuprina (Australian sheep blowfly). RNAcentral describes it as "uncharacterized LOC111687671, transcript variant X5". Lineage: Eukaryota; Metazoa; Arthropoda; Insecta; Diptera; Calliphoridae. The record is from RNAcentral.